ACAAACUAAAGGACUUGUGACCUUUUAUUAUACCCUAAUUCCCUUUAGGGGGUCAUUCAGUCUGGUCCUCAUCCUGUGUAUAUGCAUGUUGUCAUUGUUCAUGUCCCACUCCACAAAUCACUUGGAUAUGAACUCUUAUAAGUAUUCAUGCUCCAUCAACUACCCCUGAAAUUUAAGUAUUAAAGCAGAAAAAUAUUCAACAUAGAAGAACAAAAUCAUAUGCAUGAAGAGAUUUUCAGCAGGCACUUUACUCUGCAUAAGGUUGUGAAGAGCGUGCUAGAUAAGUGAAAGGAUCAUUGUUUUUAAAAACUUUUUAAAGUUUCUUUAAAAUAGACAGUUUAAUCUCAUACUAUCAAAUAAAAGUCCGGGUUAUACUUACAUAUAGAUUUUUGAUUUAACAAAGUUCCAAUCUAAGGUUUAAAGGUUUGAAAAAACCAAAAGGUUUCUUUAAAUCCACUUAGUUUAAAUAUCAUAUUUAAACUAAAAGAAACAAAUAACGUUCAUAUAUAAUUAAGUUUACCUGUCAUUAGAGUCUUUGUUCCUCUCAUAGCUUAAUUGAUAAGACCACCUAAACCAUGCAGCCUAAAAAGGAAAGUGCAGAAGAUGUUAAAAAGGGAAGUGCAAUACUUGUAUCCAAAGGUUUUCAAGUGAGAAACAUACAACAUGAAAAAAAUACAACAGAGAAAAGAGAUCAAAUAGAAUCAAAUUUAGAGCAGAUAUAAAAAACCACUGACCGAAUGCAUUCGAUUGCUAUCCCAUUUGAUUUUAUUUGAACUACUGUAUAUAGAAGCCAGCAUUCAAGACAUCAUAAGUGUAGCUGAGGUUUCUUCACAGGAAGGCCCUCACUUGACUUCUCUAUUCCAUAUCUCAAACUUUGGACUUCCUUAUCUCUUGGAAGGUGCAGUCUAAUUUUAGAAUGACUAAUAAUAUUACGACGUUACGACGAAUAUCUCCCAGAAAUACUAUUAAUUACAGCUACGCCCAGAAGCACAACCACACUUCUGGGUUGGAAAAUCUUCCUUGCUAUUAUGAAGCUGUGAAAAUUGAUGGUUUUUGUUGGGUCCUAAAACUAAAAUGGUGGGCAUGGAUAAACCUGAACUUGUGCUUUGACCUGGUUUCUACACAUUCUGAAUAAGCCUAUUGUAUACAUCUGCCAAAACUAUAAAAGUAGCAACAUUAUUAGUUGAUUACUUCAUACUUCAUCUUUAACCCUUAUGAAUGAAACGUGAAUAAGCUUGCUGCAUGACUUUCAAUUCAGCAUGUUGCCUAGUUUACCAGGAGAAGAACAAAAGGAUUUUGAUGGCUUGAUCGCUAUAAUUUAUUGGAAGCAAAGCAUACAUUAAAAAUUAUAACUAAGGAAGAUAAUUGUUUUAAUAUCUAACAAAUACUAUGAUACGAAGUAGAUGAUGAAGAUUCAUGCCUAAAAUGCAAAGAUGUAUAUGUUUUACUGAGUUAGAUUAUCACCAACAAUCCCAAUUUG
This 1480-nucleotide long non-coding RNA is filed under the name Lotus japonicus. RNAcentral describes it as "long non-coding RNA (LJAP_LNC000210)". Lineage: Eukaryota; Viridiplantae; Streptophyta; Magnoliopsida; Fabales; Fabaceae. The record is from RNAcentral.